UGAGGAAUAUUGGUCAAUGGGCGAGAGCCUGAACCAGCCAAGUAGCGUGCAGGAUGACGGCCCUAUGGGUUGUAAACUGCUUUUAUAUGGGAAUAAAGUGAGGGACGUGUCCCUUAUUGCAUGUACCAUACGAAUAAGGACCGGCUAAUUACGUGCCAGCAGCCGCGGUAAUACGGAAGGUCCAGGCGUUAUCCGGAUUUAUUGGGUUUAAAGGGAGCGUAGGCUGUUUGUUAAGCGUGUUGUGAAAUGUAAGAGCUCAACUUUUAGAUUGCAGCGCGAACUGGCAGACUUGAGUGCGCACAACGUAGGCGGAAUUCAUGGUGUAGCGGUGAAAUGCUUAGAUAUCAUGAAGAACUCCGAUUGCGAAGGCAGCUUACGUGAGCGCAACUGACGCUGAAGCUCGAAGGUGCGGGUAUCGAACAGG
This 424-nucleotide ribosomal RNA is filed under the name Verrucomicrobiota bacterium. RNAcentral describes it as "Verrucomicrobia bacterium partial 16S ribosomal RNA". It matches the Rfam family "Bacterial small subunit ribosomal RNA", at positions 355 to 776 of the family's 1533-position model. Lineage: Bacteria; Pseudomonadati; Verrucomicrobiota. The record is from RNAcentral.